GCGAGCGGCGGAUGGGUGAGUAACACGUGGGGAACCUGCCCCUAAGUCUGGGAUACCAUUUGGAAACAGGUGCUAAUACCGGAUAAUAAAGCAGAUCGCAUGAUCAGCUUUUGAAAGGCGGCGUAAGCUGUCGCUAAGGGAUGGCCCCGCGGUGCAUUAGCUAGUUGGUAAGGUAACGGCUUACCAAGGCGACGAUGCAUAGCCGAGUUGAGAGACUGAUCGGCCACAUUGGGACUGAGACACGGCCCAAACUCCUACGGGAGGCAGCAGUAGGGAAUCUUCCACAAUGGACGCAAGUCUGAUGGAGCAACGCCGCGUGAGUGAAGAAGGUUUUCGGAUCGUAAAGCUCUGUUGUUGGUGAAGAAGGAUAGAGGUAGUAACUGGCCUUUAUUUGACGGUAAUCAACCAGAAAGUCACGGCUAACUACGUGCCAGCAGCCGCGGUAAUACGUAGGUGGCAAGCGUUGUCCGGAUUUAUUGGGCGUAAAGCGAGCGCAGGCGGAAAAAUAAGUCUAAUGUGAAAGCCCUCGGCUUAACCGAGGAACUGCAUCGGAAACUGUUUUUCUUGAGUGCAGAAGAGGAGAGUGGAACUCCAUGUGUAGCGGUGGAAUGCGUAGAUAUAUGGAAGAACACCAGUGGCGAAGGCGGCUCUCUGGUCUGCAACUGACGCUGAGGCUCGAAAGCAUGGGUAGCGAACAGGAUUAGAUACCCUGGUAGUCCAUGCCGUAAACGAUGAGUGCUAAGUGUUGGGAGGUUUCCGCCUCUCAGUGCUGCAGCUAACGCAUUAAGCACUCCGCCUGGGGAGUACGACCGCAAGGUUGAAACUCAAAGGAAAUUGACGGGGG
RNAcentral lists this ribosomal RNA (844 nucleotides) under uncultured bacterium. Its description in RNAcentral is "bacterial SSU rRNA". It matches the Rfam family "Bacterial small subunit ribosomal RNA", at positions 91 to 919 of the family's 1533-position model. The record is from RNAcentral.